Callithrix jacchus (white-tufted-ear marmoset) is the source of this 1209-nucleotide long non-coding RNA. RefSeq lists it as uncharacterized. The record is from RefSeq and is a predicted model, not a curated record. Lineage: Eukaryota; Metazoa; Chordata; Mammalia; Primates; Cebidae.
UCCUGAGGGCAGGCAGAGCAGACUCAGAGCAAGGAAGCAGAGGACAGCCAGAGACAGAGGCCAAAGAGCCAGGAGAGCUGCCUUUGUGUCCUUGACUUGCCAUCCUGGGCACACAUUGUUAACCCUUUGGACUCUACUUCCCCAUCUAUAAAAUGGGAGCAGAGCCUGGUGCCCUCGAAAUUGGGCAUGAAAGAGCUGAGUGAGGGUCAUAAAGCUGGCAGGACGAGAAGAAGGCUUCUGCACCGGAGUCAGAGACACACGCUGGGCAAGUGCCGUCACCUCUCUAAGUCCACGGUUCUUCAUGUGCGCAGUGAAGGGUGGACGCACCCGGCGGGCUGCCACCCCGGCCAUAUGACAGCUAGACAGCUAGAGGGGCUUAGCAGAGGCAGGUCUGGUGAGAGUCCUCAGCUACAGGGAGAAGGCCACGGAGGGCUGGCAGGACAGGAACUCGGGGGCUGGCAGUGGGGCUCGGGGACAGGGGGACACCAGAAUGCUGCCAGCCAGGUGAUCUGUGGCCUUUGACAGUUGGGCUGUACCACUUUGGAAGGGGACAGGAGGCCCAUUCUGGCCUCUGGGGGCCAAACCAUUCUGCCACGUGGGGCCCUGGCAGGAUGAAGCUUCAGGGACAGCUGCCCCUGACCAGCUGCCUGCCAAAUCCUGCCUUGGAAGCGAAGCUUACAAGCCUUACCGCUGAAAACUACUUUCCUGGCUUCACAACCGAACCCAGGCCUUGCCCCAGGGGCACCACACCUCGUAACACCCAUGGGCACCACCUCUUCCUGGAAAACUACAAGUCCCAUGAGGCGCUGCUGCCUGGCUGGCUGGCAUCCACUAGCACAAGUACUGGGAGUCUCACUCUGUCGCCCACACUGGAGUGCAGUGCCGCCAUCUCAGCUCACUGCAACCUCUGCCUCCUGGGUUCAAGCGAUUUUCCUGCCUCAGCCUCCCGAGUAACUGAGAUUACAGCAUGAACCAGACCUUUACAGCUACUGUCUCCCGAGCUCGUCCCGAAGACGGCCCAGGUGGCUAGGAAUAGCCCCCCUGUUUUACAGAAGGAGGCUUCGGGUGGAGGUGCUGACGGCCCUCGCGCUCUAGCGCCUGCAUCCGUUCCUCAGUGGCCUCCGACUGGGUCCGCAGCCUGGACCCCUCACGCUCCCACUGCCUCCGCUCCCGGCCCGCUGCUGCCAGGGCCUCCGCCAGUGCCUCCCG